Molecule: long non-coding RNA, 462 nt
Filed under: Rhinopithecus bieti (black snub-nosed monkey)
Lineage: Eukaryota; Metazoa; Chordata; Mammalia; Primates; Cercopithecidae
Description: lncRNA (ENSRBIG00000046557.1)
Source: RNAcentral
UGGGGAUUUUAGUAUUCAAGUUGGUAACUCUGAUUAUUGAAUCCUUUCAAUACUUAAUUUCCUCUUAACAGAUUAAAGAAUCUGAAAUAACAGUUACAAUAGAAGAUAACACCACACCCAGAUCAAAACUAUCCUCCUUAAUGCUAAAAGUAGUCACUUUAGAUUUUAUUGAUCUAAUCCAAAGUAUCUUAUAACUUCUGGCUGGAAUUAAGGUCAGUACUGUAUUUGUGUCAAUCAUGAAUAAACUGUGAAAUAAAAUAAAGGCUUCAUGGGUCUUUAGAUAGCUAGGUCAAAAAUAUGCUUGCAAUAUGUGGUAAAAGCUGAAAUUUAGUAAAACCUGGAUAUAUUUCAGAGUUGGCUUACUAGCAAACAUGGUUCCCUGAGUACUGUUUGUUUUUCUAAUUAGUAUAAUUUAUUUGGUUUUUGAAUAUUGAAUUUAUUUCAUCUUACUACUACCUGAGU